UGAGAAGCCCGAGAAAGUUCCGAACCU
Molecule: non-coding RNA, 27 nt
Filed under: Rattus norvegicus (Norway rat)
Lineage: Eukaryota; Metazoa; Chordata; Mammalia; Rodentia; Muridae
Source: RNAcentral